ACUCCUACGGGAGGCAGCAGUGAGGAAUAUUGGUCAAUGGACCAAAAGUCUGAUCCAGCAAUUCUGUGUGUUUGAUGAAGGCCUUCGGGUUGUAAAGAACUUUCAGUGGGGAAGAAGCAAGUGACGGUACCCACAGAAGAAGCGACGGCUAAAUACGUGCCAGCAGCCGCGGUAAUACGUAUGUCGCAAGCGUUAUCCGGAAUUAUUGGGCAUAAAGGGCGUCUAGGCGGUCUAAUAAGUCUGAUGUGAAAAUGCGGGGCUCAACUCCGUAUUGCGUUGGAAACUGUUAGACUAGAGUUUUGGAGAGGUAGGCGGAACUACAAGUGUAGAGGUGAAAUUCGUAGAGAUUUGUAGGAAUGCCGAUGACGAAGGUAGCUUACUGGACAAAUACUGACGCUGAAGCGCGAAAGCUAGGGGAGCAAACAGGAUUAGAUACCCUGGUAGCGACUGA
RNAcentral lists this ribosomal RNA (451 nucleotides) under uncultured bacterium. RNAcentral's name for it is "bacterial SSU rRNA". It matches the Rfam family "Bacterial small subunit ribosomal RNA", at positions 335 to 798 of the family's 1533-position model. The record is from RNAcentral.